This 317-nucleotide ribosomal RNA is filed under the name uncultured eukaryote. Its description in RNAcentral is "partial 18S ribosomal RNA". It matches the Rfam family "Eukaryotic small subunit ribosomal RNA", at positions 1470 to 1796 of the family's 1831-position model. The record is from RNAcentral.
CCCUUAGAUGUUCUGGGCUGCACGCGCGCUACACUGAUGCGUUCAACGAGUAUCCACCUUGCGCGACAGCGCUAGGAAAUCUUGUGAAAGCGCAUCGUGCUGGGGAUAGACGAUUGUAAUUAUUCGUCUUCAACGAGGAAUUCCUAGUAAGCGCGAGUCAUCAGCUCGCGUUGAUUACGUCCCUGCCCUUUGUACACACCGCCCGUCGCUCCUACCGAUUGAGCGGUCCGGUGAGCCAUUCGGAUUGUGCCUGCCCUCGGGUGCGGCGCGAAAAGUCUUGCAAACCUUAUCGCUUAGAGGAAGGAGAAGUCGUANCA